GCCAGAGGCCGGCGGCGGUGACAGGAAGCAGGGACCCUGCCGGACUGCCGCCGCGGUCACCGCGGGACGGGCCGCGAACGGACUGGCACAGGGGGCCUCCCGGGCGCGCACCUGGAGGUGUGAGUUCUGGGAAACGAUGACUGCGCGAGGCGACCGACGACCCAAGGCCAGCGGGGUGACGGGCAGGGCGUUCCGAGAAGCCGGCGCACCGGGGAACGCGCGGCACCGAGGCGGCAGCCGGGUCAGGGUGCGGGAGCGCGGGGCGAGGCCCUGGAGCAGGGCAAUGCGCACCCACCGCUAAGCGGGGAAGAGAAGCCCGUUUGCAGGAGGCUGCUGCUGAGUUUCCGUCCCUGAGCUGGGCUGAGCGCUUGGGAUCAAACCGGCAACCACGGUGCAUUGGAACGACGCUUUAACCAACUGAGCAGUCUGGCCAGGGCAAGGAAGUAUUUCUUUAAAAGAUACGUUUGGCGUUUAAAGGAAAGAUAUUAGGAACUCGGCAAGGAGAUUGGACAUGGAUCUUUGAAGGAUGGCUGGGACUGCGGCAAGCAGAGACAGGCCAGUUGAGGAGGCUGCCCGAGGCGGAAGGAAUGGAGCAAUCAAGGGCACAGAAAGAGAAACGGAUGGAGUGUUCUGGGAACACCAAGAAGUCAAUUUGGAUGGAGCACAGGGAAAAGACUUCUAGCGUGAGAUACAGAUUGGACUUUGAACAAAACUAGACUACCACCUGCAAACCAGAGACAACUUUUUGUUUGAAUGGAGUCGCCAACUAAAAUAAAAGUGAGAAUCAUGUGCCUUGAUUGUGACAGUACCUGCCAUCAUUGGAGUGUUAUGGGAACAAUCGCCUGUGGCUGAACCCAAGCAGAAGAUGAAGGGCGAGCAAGCUCAGGUGAUGCUGCCCUUCAAGGUCAACCCUGGAGAAGGGUGGAGAGUGGAUCUGGAGGAACACAGGCAGAAAUGUG
This is a long non-coding RNA of Pteronotus mesoamericanus, 959 nucleotides long. RefSeq lists it as uncharacterized. Lineage: Eukaryota; Metazoa; Chordata; Mammalia; Chiroptera; Mormoopidae. The transcript is spliced from 4 exons. The record is from RefSeq and is a predicted model, not a curated record.